Molecule: long non-coding RNA, 7836 nt
Organism: Humulus lupulus (European hop)
Lineage: Eukaryota; Viridiplantae; Streptophyta; Magnoliopsida; Rosales; Cannabaceae
Exons: 8
Source: RefSeq, a predicted model, not a curated record
AAAAAUUAUAAGCACCAAAUAAUACUUUUUUUUUAAUUCAGAUCUCUCUUUCUCUUUCUUUUCUUCUCCUUUUUCCUCAUCAUUCUCUCUCCUCUCUCUCGGAUCUCUUUCUCCCACCAGACCUCUCUCCUUCACUCUUUCUCUCUCGCCUGUGUCUUUGUGGAGCUCGACCGCUACCUUCCCCUACACGCGCCGGCUAGAGAUCUUCAGAGGCCGUCGAAGCUUCGACCAACGCGGGCCCAAGCCUUCACACGACACCAGAGGCGAACGACGACACCGGAGGCCAGCUCUUCUUCUCCUCUUCCCUGUGUGCGGCCAAGCCUUCUUCUUCCCUGCGUGAGACUAGCUAGCUCCAUCUAGCCUUCUUCUUCCCUGUGUGAAGGUUCGAGAUUGGUACAUGGAUUCGUUCCGUGAUCUGAGAUCGUUUCCGGAGAUAAAAGAUGCAAAUGACGAAAAAGAUUUUACCCAAAUGAUAAAAGCAAUUAAAGUGAGACACAACAAUGUGGUUCCUAUGAUGGCUUCGGGUGUUCAACAGUUGAAGAAACAACUCUCUCCCACUCGCACUCCCAGCCAAAAUCUUCAUGAGAUUCAUCAAUUCCUAGAUCGUUUUUACAUGUCAAGAAUUGGGAUUCGAAUGCUCAUUGGUAUCUUCCUCUUCUUAUUCUAAACAUUUUGGCUCUAGAGGGUGCGUGUUUAAUAGCUGCACUUGUCCAAACUAUGGGAAUUAGAGUUUCUAUUCUCAACUUUCUCAUUGGCAAUUUACUAGAUGAUAAAGUUGUGAUAUAUCCUAUUUCAUUAUGUUUAUACUCCCAUUUUUAGGUAGAUUUUUAUAGCUGGAUAGCUUAGUUAAGUAUUAGAGGAUGUUAUUGGAUAUUAGGCGUCUCUCGUGGGUGUUAAAUAAAUAUAUUUUUCCGUACCUUAAGUUUGGAAUGAGUUGAUGGAAAAUGGUCCAGAACUCAACUUUGAUCUGCUUGGGUGAAUUUGUUAAUGUUGUAGUUUUAGUGCCAACCACAGAGUGUGCGAUGAUUUGUGCUGGUAAUUGAAAACGUGGUUGUGAUAGGCGUAGGAAUUGAUUACUAUGAUGCGAUUAUUUCUUUACAGUAAUUCAAGUUUUUUGGUGAGUAUGUCACUGGACGAGUCCCCAUUUAUUUAGGAAUUAGUAUCACCUGUUUGAUCUACAAUAAUUUAGGUUUUAUUGUGGAAUAUGUUCAGACAAGUUUGUCUAAUGUGAUUGAUAUAAAUUUGAACGUUUAGGAUUCCUUAGUGUAUUAUUGCAACACAGCCUUGGCAUUUAAUGAUUAGUUUAGUUGUCCAUUGCUUACAUUGAUACCAUUUUGGUAAUUACAUUGAUACCAUUUUGGUAAAUAUGCAGGAAGGAUGCUUUCGGUUCAAUCUUGUGAUAUUUGUGAUUGUAGAGUUAUUUUGACUGGAUUUGGGUAGUAUUCUGUGCUUUGCUUCUGUUGUGUUAUUAGUGUGAUUGUUUCUUUUUUAAAGAUCACAGGAAUGUUUUUGUUCCUCCUGGUUUUUUCUUCACCCUGUUGAGGACAUUUGUUUGUUUCCUUUUUUAUUGCAGUUCCCAUAGUAUCUUUUAUUUGAUAAUUUCUCUAGUCCAAUAACCAAUUUCAUGAACCUUAAUAUUGUUGUCUUAUUGGGUGUCCAGUGUAUUAUUAUGCAGGAUUCAAUAUUAAUUUGUUACUGGAUGUUCCUUGCCAAUUUUAUUUUCAUGUUAUCUUAUCCUGUCUUCAUUUGCAACUGAAAAGCUAGUUCGAAGAUCUAUAUGAUCAAUUCUGAAUUGAAUUCUUUCAGUUUUGGUAAGAGCUGACUGGGUUUUUGUAGUUGAUUAUUAUAAUUCAAAAUUAUUUUUCAUCAGCUAUUGUUUUGGACUAGUCCAGGUUCUUGAAUUGCUUUUUUCUCUAUAAAAUGGUAGCAUAAAUUCCUCUUUAACCCAAAUCAAUAUCAUUAAUGCUCAAUGCCUUAGGUAUACAAAUGUGUGUAUAUACAUAUAUAUAUAAGAGAAAUUUUAAUUGAAUUAAAAUAUAUCAAUAAGAAUUUUUUUGCUGUAGAUGAGAAUGCUUGAUUUUUUUUUACUUUUGGUAAUUGGAAUGAUGUGGUACAUUUUAAGAUAAUAUAUCAAUCAUAAUUUUGUUGUUGUAGAUGAGAAUGCUUGAUUUUUUUUUUUACUUUUGGUAAUUGGAAUGAUGUGGUACAUUUUAAGAUGUGGCUUGCAAAUGAUGGAAAUUAUAUAGAGCUUAGAUGGCUUACAACGUGGAAACAAAGACAACAAAUUGUUGACUUUCAAUUACCAUUUGAGAUUUUCGGGGUUGUGCAACAAAAGUGAGCACCAUUUUGUUAUGACUUCAUUCAAUUUCUUGAUGCAUAUGUCCAAACUUAAUCUAAUAUGUUGAAAAAAAUAAUUUCUUUAAGUUCUUACUUGAAAACUUGAUUAUGAGAUUGGAUUCAUAGUUGAGUUGCUCAUUUUAGUUUGAAACUUUAUGAAGCUAAGAAUAAGUUUUAUACAACAAUGCUUAUGGUUUAAGACAAUUAAAAAAAAACUGCACUCUAUAUGUUUUGUGAAAUGCCUUAGAGACAUAACACUUGGAUGAAAUAAUCUUUAUGCAUAGGAGUUUGAAAGUUAGUUGCCUAAUUGUAUAUCUUUGCAGAAAGCUCCAAUUGAUCCUUUCACUCGUGAAAGUUGCAAGCCAUCUGCAUCUCAAGGUGUUCCACUUGGAGGCAUGGGGUCUGUGGUGUACAAGCUUGUUGCUACAAAUUUUUCAACUUUAUUCUUUUUAUUUGAUCAAAUUGAUAUGCUUGUUUGUUUAUGUCUCAUACAAAAGUGGCAGCAUAUCUAGAGGUUUUAGAGGUGAAUUCAGGAAAUUUCAAAUUGUUCCUGGUUUACAAUUUUCUGUAAAAAUCUUCUCUUCAUCUAUACUCGGUUUUCUUUAUAUUUUAUUUUUUAAGAAAUAAAAAUUUCAGUAAUAUCCAGUACGAUAUUAUUGUGAGGUAGUGGGUGAAUGCUGCUUUUUAUGUAAAAGUAACGUGAGCAUUGUGGAGUUGAUGGGAUUCCACUUGAUUUAAUUAUUUUAAGUGUAAAUUUUAUAUCAGACCAAAUAUUGUUGCUGAAGUUGAACGUAGAUGUAUUUGUUACUAACAAUACUACUUUUCUUUAGAAAUAACUUAAAUAUUUACUACUAGUGUUCUAAAUGGAAGUUGUAAUAUGUAGCUGAGAUAGGUUCACAGAUUAAUGGGUGCAACAAUGGCGCCUGAAAUGAUGAUCUUAUAAGUCUUUCUUUAUUAAAGAAUAUCUUAAUUCUAUGCUUAUACUUAAAUGCUUUGAACAAUUGCAUUUGUUAUCUUUUCAUAAGUAGCACAUAAUUGUUGGCCUAUCAAAUUUAAUCUUUAUUCUGUUUUCACGAUUUACUUUAUUUAUGCUGUGCUACAGAUUUUCAUAUCAAGAGAUGGAGGACAUAAAAAUUACUCAUCCGUUUUGGCUCCAGGUCAACAUGAAGGAAUAGGGAAAGUGGGUGAUCAGGGUAUAUCUUCGUGGGACUGGAAUCUUAAUGGCUAGCAUUCCACAUAUCAUGCUCUAUUCCCAAUGGCAUGGACGAUAUAUGAUGGUGAACCGGAUCCAGAACUGUAAAUUUCUUGUUGGCAAAUAUCGCCAUUCAUACCACAUAAUUAUAAAGAUAACAGUCUUCCUACUUCUGUUUUUGUUUAUACGUUGGUGAAACACAGGAAAGGAAAGGGCAAAAGUCAGCCUUCUUUUUACAUGGGCGAUUAUAAGCGGUGGGAAGAAGAUAUUGAGAAAUGGCGAAGUCCCAUUCUUAAUGAUGGCAGGCUUCCAGAAUAGUAAAUAGUGAUUUAUGAUUAUCCUAUUAUAACUUUCUUAAAAACAAUUAGCUAGCUUGUUAGCGUAGAGCAACAUUACUAAAGAAACCUUAAAAGUGUAAUGUUGCUCUUUUACAUUUGUACGUGUUUCACAAUUCCAAGUGCACUGAGACAUUUAUGUGGUAAUGGAAACUGGAAAAUCUUGCUUGACGAGGCUGAUCCUUGUAUUCUUACCAAUAUAUAAAAAUCUGUAGGCCCCUGAUAUUUUCUACUGCAUUUUAUUAAAUUAGUUUGAAGGGCCCAUCGAUUUUAGCAUUAAGUUGCCAUUUUCAUAUCGUGUUUGAUGGGAGCACUUUUAUAAGGCAUCUGCUUACUACUUUGUUGUUUAUUUGCAUGUAGAACUAAUCAACACAUAUAUCAGCGUCCUUCCAGGAUUUACAAUUUCAGAAGUCCUCUGCUUAUACACUAGAGCAAGUUAUUUCACUGAUCUAGUGAUCCCGGGCUUGUACUAGAGUUUUGGGUCUCUGCUCUCAUCUUUCCUCCAAUGAUGUUUUUGUUCUAAAUUGUAACGCCCCAACUCCAGGGACCGCUACAGUGCACAUUGUAAACAGUGCUAAACUCGCUAAUCGAGUCGUUUGGCCAUAACGCGUAUCUAAGUGUGAUUAGCGGUUUAGGGAUUAAAAACUUUGGUUAAGAUAUAACGUUUCACUAAAACGUUUACCGUAUACAUUGGGAUCCCAAAAAUAUAAUUUCAGAGUUUAUUACAAGAAAGUGUUUACAACAGGCCGUUCUAAGCGGCAAAACAGGGUUCAACCCUAGUUCCACUUUCAAACCUCGCCCAAGUAUUGGUCGAGCAGCUGCAUAUGUACACGUCAUCACCUAAGCUCUCCAACUCAAGGAUGGUCCAGCUUCCUCUUUCCUUUACUUGCACCACAAAGCACCCGUGAGCCGAAGCCCAGCAAGAAAACUCAUAUGCUCAUAAACAGUCAUAUCAUGAUACCAAAUCAUAUCUGGCAUGCCUAGCAUUCAUAGCUCUGUUCAGCAUGCAAAUGAAUUCAAACAGAUGCUGGAGUAUCCAAGACAAGAAGUCCUGGCCUUCUGAUUGGAGGACUAUCAAGUCAAUCCUAAUCAGAUGAGUAACAUAACACUAGAGGUUCCGAUAAACCAUGCUGAGUGACCAACAAGCAAGUCACUAGGGGCCUCAGUGCCCAAGCCAUGCAUAUGAUGAUCAAAAUGAUCAUACAGAGCUCAUAGCCCUGAUCAGACGAGUGAAUAUCACUUGAGGUUCUAGUAAACCAUAUUGAGUGACUGACAACCAAGUCACUCGGGGCCCAGUGCCCAUUUCCUGGAAUGGCUCUACAUGACUAGCCAUUGGCUAGAUAAAUGCUUGUUUAUAUUCAUCGAACUUGAGGUCGGUCCUGCAUUAAUGCUCUUUGAGUCAUUCAAUGCAGAGGGUCGAUUAGAUCCAAUCGACAAAGCUUGCGCUACACACUAGGGUUGUCAUGACUAGUGAGUUAGCACAGUGUGACCAGUGCCCAGUACCUCUGCCGAACCUGACUAAUGAGUCACGGCUUCACAGCUGAUACUAACACCUUUGCCAAUUCUGACUAGUGAGUCAGCCCUGUGUGACCAGUGCCCAGUACCACUGCCGAACCUGACUAAUGAGUCACGGCUUCACAGUUGAUACUAGCACCUUUGCCAAAUCUGACUAAUUAGUCAGUACCAUGCACAGGUAAGCAAUACUAUCAAUGUGUAUCAUAUGCCAAUCAUCCAAGAGUAGGGCAUUCAGCAUGCUUACUAAACAGUUGCUAGCAUAAUUAUGAUCAUGCACAAACACAGAGACUCAAGCUCUGACCAAUCUCAUAUUCAUCAUUCAUGGCAUGCCCUAAUCACAUGUUUCUCGUGCAUCACAUGCAUCGCACUUAAUCAUCCAGCAUGCCUCAACAAUAAUCAUAUGCAGAUGGGCAAGACUGCCAAGCAUUCAUUAUGCUAUCCAUGUUUACAUUUAAACAUCCAACAUGCAUCAAUCAUAGCCGUGCAUGUCACAUAUGGGGUGCAGUCUUCUUACCUUGGGUUCGAGCGAGAAUUAAUAAAAGAAACGACUUUUGAGAACGAUCAGCUUUUAGUCCUUUAGCGGUCACCUAGUCAUAACCAAACAUAUAGGAUACCAUUAAUAAAAAUGACCAACAUAGGUUCUCAAACCAAUAUCUAGCCUCUGGGACAUCAAUCCCCACUUAACCGGGUACUAGGAUCAACCCCGAGGCCUAUGGCAAGCAUCCCUAAGUCAAAAACCCUAUUCUGGCCAAAUUUGCCUUGAUGGGCCGCGGCUCACCAUAGCCAUGCCGCGGCUCAUCCCCCUGACAGAGGCAUAAUUGCCUCAGAAACACACUUAGGCCGCGGCACGCCAAAGCCAGGCCGCGGCACAUUACCCUGAUCAGCCCAAAAACCAGCAACGCACCAGCAAACUCCCCUACAUUUUUCCCUUGGAACCAGCCCUUCAAACCAACCCAAAACACCAACCUAACACCCAAUUCAACCCCUAAACAUCAUCAACAUCUCACCCUCAUCAAAACCCAAGUUUCCAAACUCAAGAACUCCCAUUAAUUCACAACUAACACAUCAAAAUCCUCAAUUGAAAACUUAAUAGAAAAACAGGGUAUACCAUGAAACUCAUGGCUGGAACUUACCUCAAACUUGAUUUUGAAUCCCCUUCCAUGGCUGAAUCAAGUUCCUAAGCUCCCACCUUUAAUCUCCUAGCUUAACUCCUCAAUUUGGCCUCUCAAAAUUCAAAGGGAAAUGAAGGGAGAGAAGAAAAAAGGGAUGAGGAUGGCUCUGUUUCUGUUAUGUUUCCACAUCUUUCUAAACCCCAAAGCUGAUAUAAAUCCUUAAGGUCAAAAGACCAUAAUGCCCCUAGGCCAAUUUAAAGCUUCUAAACACUCCCAAGGGUAAAUUCGUCAUUUCCAACCUAUACCGUUAAUUAUAAUUAACGCUCUCCAAUUCCCGCUAUUCUCAACAUUCUCAAAUGCCAAUAAAUCACAUCCCAUUACCCUUUAAUUCCCGGUAAUGCUUUAAUCAUCAAAAUGACCCCGAGACUCACCCCGAGCCCCGAACCAAAUCUCGUUAUGACUAGACCGAAAACUUGCAUUCCCAUGAUCAUCUCAUGUCGAAUGGCUCGAACCAAUCCACAUAUAAUGUGGUAAAAUUAUAAUUCACCCAUAUGCAUAAAAUUACACAAUCACGCCCCCAACGGCCAAAUUACCAAAAUGCCCUUGCAAUUAAAAUAUGAGUCCAUAUGCAUGCAUUCACCAUCAUAUUAUAAUAUAAUUCACAUAAACAUGCAUAUAAUCAUUAAAUACCAUAAUAAAUCAAUUAUGGCCCUCCCGGCCUCCUAAUCAAGGUCCUAAACCUUAUUAGGAAAUUUGGGGCAUUACAUAAAUUGUUUUCUAUCAAAAUCAAUGUGUAAGCUUCCAUUGAUGGCUGUAGGUUCAAGUUUACAUUAUUUAAUGAGCUUUACUUCUUGGUUGCCAGUGGAACAAUUUGGAUUGAUUCUUCCUUGUCAGCUAACGUAAGAAACAAUCAGCAAUAGUUAACAAACGUUGAAGCAGCAGACUGCAGAGCAGUUAAUAAGCAUGCAUCAACUACUAGUUGUUAUAGUACUGCUGCUAAUUUUGGUUUGGAAAGCGAUAGUAAAGAAUAUUCAUGCAACGGUUAUGACGAAGAUGUUGAUUCAACAAGUCAAGUGCAAAAGAAAAUCUGAUUUGGAAGGCUUUGGUGUGCUGACAUUUGGAAGAUCAUGAAUUCCUACCUUUACUUUUGAAUAUGCAACUGUUUAAGACUAUUUUGUUGACUAUUGUGAGAAUGUUUUGUGUAUGUUAAUUAGGCAGUGUUGAAUAUCUUAUGACUUCUGUAUUAUUUUUUAUAUAAUCUUGAAUGUAUUUUGACACAAUUAUUUGGUUAUAUGUGUUAUGAACCAUAUAAUUAGUACUCAAAAAUAUAUUUGUACAAUGUUAA